Molecule: long non-coding RNA, 1085 nt
Organism: Gasterosteus aculeatus aculeatus (three-spined stickleback)
Lineage: Eukaryota; Metazoa; Chordata; Actinopteri; Perciformes; Gasterosteidae
Source: Ensembl
GUCGUGUUGGCUGCCUGCUGGGGAGUGAGGAGAUCUGCUUUCACUCCGCUGCCCCACAUAUUUCCUGCUGGCUGGACGCCUUGUGAUUCUGCGAGUAGACACGCCUGCCGUAGUUCGACAUCAUAAGCAGGAGCAGCAGAGGAUGCCAGGCAGCUCUCCUGAGAAACAAUUAGCUGUGAACUUCAGAGGAGAACAAUGAUUAGCAUUAACCUCGUUUGGACCGCUGCGCUAAUUAGAGGCUCCGCAAAACAAGAGUGAGAGGCCGCCAUAUGCUCCGUCCGACAGCCACUCCAGAGCGUCACAACCGGGAGCCUCGUCCCUACAGUGGCUCCCUCCCAAAGCCUUCUGCUCACCUUGAGCCAAAUCAUACAAAAGCCCCUUCCUGUAACCAAUAUUAACUGAAUGUGCGUCAUGCUGUGCUUUUAUGGUUGCACAACACAUGCAAAGAAUGAGCUACGCUGGAAUAAUGCAAUCCAAAAACAAAAAAAAGAGGGAAAACGUUUGGUGAAACUAACUGUAAAUGGCAAAGAACCCAGUAAAGGGAACAAGAGAUGGAAGAUAGCAAAGAGGCAUCCCAAUAAAACGGUGUAUAAGAAGUGAUUUUAAACUUGAUACUUGCUCUGACAGCGAGUUCCUCGGGCAAAAGAGCCGGUAGGGGCCCUGACGGCAGAAGCACCGAUCACAUCUUAAGUCUCCAUGGGGGGGAGCAAAAAGAGCUUGAGCUGAGACUUGCAGAAAGCUCGCAGGCUCCUAAAAGGGCAACAGCUUUAACAAUACGUGGGGACCAGGUGCAAAGCAAAAGAUACAAUCUUUGCAUCCAAAACAAAGAAACACUACAAGUCAGUUGAAUCUGGAAGAUGUGGUCCUAUUGCAUGUAACUGCAGUCCAAAUAAAAUGCAUUGUAUGCAUGCAUUAAAUGCAUCACAAUUGGGUCAAUUAACAGUGUGUGAAAACUUAAAUAUCCACUUUGGCUGCCUUUAACGAUUAUUGGCUUUAACGCUGGUUCACUUCAAUAAAUGACUAAUGCCUUCAAAGUGUCUCUAAUCAAUAUUUUAUAUAAAGAAUAGACUGAUUGUAUUGACAGG